GCCAUCCAGACCUGGGGGUUCGGGAGCUCCUGGUAGUCCUUUGAUCGGAAUGAAGAUGGUGUCUCCUGUGUCUCCGGGGGCACCUUUUCUACCUGGAACAGAUGGAAAAGGGGAUAUUGAAGAUUCUCAACUGCACUCCAAUGUUAUACAAAAAUGGCCCUCAUCUCCUGGUAAGCCUCGUUGACCGUCAAAGCCCCUCUCUCCUUUCCUUCCCGGGGAUCCUAGUGCUCCACUCCUCCCUGGACCACCCACUGACCCAUCCCUACCAGGUACCCCUAUUAUACCUGAACACAGGACGC
Long non-coding RNA from Oncorhynchus gorbuscha (pink salmon), 299 nucleotides. RefSeq lists it as uncharacterized. The record is from RefSeq and is a predicted model, not a curated record. Lineage: Eukaryota; Metazoa; Chordata; Actinopteri; Salmoniformes; Salmonidae. The transcript is spliced from 3 exons.